AUCGAGCUCUUAUUGUGCGCAGAGGCACCGUGGUACUAGACAUACGCCAUGAGAAACGAGACGUAAAAAACAGUGACCCAACAGGUGGAUGCCUGGCUCCACCCCGCCUCACCUUAAAGACGCCUCCGCCCGGAACCCUUCCUCCCUCGUGUCCCUCCUCACCUUAAGCGGCGCCCCCAGCAGGUGGUGCAGAGCGGAGAUCUGCGCGCCCACGGGCAGCGCCCCGUCCAGGUUGCAGGUGGGGGCCCGGCGCGGCUCCGGGAAGUUGGCACAGGCGAAGGGAUCCGCGUCCUCCAGGUGAGGAAACGAUGUGAAGCGAGAAUGAAGAGACCCACACAAGAGAUGAGCGAAAAGUGAACCACAGAGAUCACAAUCCAACAUAUGUGUCCCCUCGAUUGACGACGCCGGAGCUAUGAAAGAAUUCACCGGACCAAUGUGCUCAAUGGACGAAUCGACGGAGGCAGAAUUAGGAUGGUUUCGGAAAUCGAUUUAAAUCCAUUCCGGCAGUCCAACGUGACUAAAUUUUUUUUGGUGGGGGGGGUGUUCAAUCUUCAUUUACAAAAUGAAGGGUGUUUAGAACUCGGGUUUUAUUGGGUGAAGCCCUAAAAAUCCACACUCCAACGAGUAUGGCACUGCGCUGGGAUCUAUAUAGGUCGGGCUCAAAGUCGUGGGGUGAUCAAGGGGGUUGGGGGUGAAUGGCCUCUCCCCUUUACAACCCCUGCCUAAACUGAAGCACCAGAAGUGGCGCCCACUCUGUUCCUCUCGGCCAAAACAACGUGUGUCUCUUUGCCUGGACGCCAAGGGAGCUGCAUGAAUCUUUCUUCUCGAGAGUCAGACAAUGGGUUCUUGGGCAACGUCCCUGAACACAGUGUGGGAGGUGUCCUUGAAUGUUUAGGAGCGCCACAGAGCAGAGGGAGGUA
Long non-coding RNA from Ornithorhynchus anatinus (platypus), 920 nucleotides. RefSeq lists it as uncharacterized. The record is from RefSeq and is a predicted model, not a curated record. Lineage: Eukaryota; Metazoa; Chordata; Mammalia; Monotremata; Ornithorhynchidae. The transcript is spliced from 3 exons.